Molecule: ribosomal RNA, 405 nt
Filed under: uncultured bacterium
Lineage: Bacteria
Description: partial 16S ribosomal RNA
Rfam family: Bacterial small subunit ribosomal RNA
Source: RNAcentral
AUUGAACGCUAGCGGGAUGCUUUACACAUGCAAGUCGAACGAGUGGCUGACGGGUGUGCACUAGAUAGUCACGUGCCCAGGCGGGGGGGAUAACUUCUCGAAAGCGUAGCUAAUACCCCAUACUAUUAGAGAGGCCGAGAUCGGAUGGGCGAGGUGGUGGGGUAAAGGCUAACCAAGGCAACGAUCCGUAGCUGGUUUGAGAGGACGACCAGCCACACUGGGACUGAGACACGGCCCAGACUCCUACGGGAGGCAGCAGUGGGGAAUUUUGGACAAUGGGGGAAACCCUGAUCCAGCCAUCCCGCGGGUAUGAGAAGGCCUUCGGGUUGUAAAGUACUUUUGGCAGAGAAGCGGUAUCUGCAGAAUAAGCACCGGCUAACUACGUGCCAGCAGCCGCGGUAAUUC